This 543-nucleotide ribosomal RNA is filed under the name uncultured bacterium. RNAcentral describes it as "bacterial SSU rRNA". It matches the Rfam family "Bacterial small subunit ribosomal RNA", at positions 777 to 1336 of the family's 1533-position model. The record is from RNAcentral.
AAUAGAUACCCAGGUAGUCCACGCCCUAAACGAUGGAUGCUAGGUUUGCGGGUAUCGACCCCCUGUGAGCCGUAGGUAACCCGUUAAGCAUCCCGCCUGGGGACUACGACCGUAAGGUUAAAACUCAAAGGAAUUGACGGGGGCCCGCACAAGCAGCGGAGCGUGUGGUUUAAUUCGAUGCUAAACGAAGAACCUUACCAGGGCUUGACAUGUAAGUGGUACUGAGUCGAAAGGCAAGGGACCCGCAAGGGAGCUUACACAGGUGCUGCAUGGUUGUCGUCAGCUCGUGCCGUGAGGUGUUGGGUUAAGUCCCGCAACGAGCGCAACCCUUGUCGCUAGUUAAAUUCUCUAGCGAGACUGCCCCUAAAAGGGAGGAAGGAGGGGAUGACGUCAAAUCAUCAUGGCUCUUACGUCCUGGGCUACACACACGCUACAAUGGCCAGUACAAACGGUUGCUAAAUCGCGAGAUGGAGCCAAUCCGAUCAAAGCUGGUCUCAGUUGGGAUUGCAGGCUGAAACCCGCCUGCAUGAACGUGGAGUUGCU